RNAcentral lists this long non-coding RNA (2276 nucleotides) under Fukomys damarensis (Damara mole-rat). RNAcentral's name for it is "lncRNA (ENSFDAG00000032673.1)". The record is from RNAcentral. Lineage: Eukaryota; Metazoa; Chordata; Mammalia; Rodentia; Bathyergidae.
AUGCUCGUCCCUGACCCUGGCCUCCUGGAUGCCACCCCUGCUCCGCUCCUCAGCACCGUCCGCUCGGGGUUCUAUCCCUGGCGCCUGCCUGUGAGCUCCAAAGGGGAGGACACCUGCCUGGCUCAGCUCGGAGCAGGUACCGGCGCACACCGCACCCUCCUGGCAGCAGGAAGCUCUGUGUCCCUGAAUACCCGGUGCUACCUGUACCCGACCUGUGUGCCCACGUGGCUGUGCUUACCUUGCUGUCAGAUAUUUUCUUUGCCUCCUUCCCGAGUCCUCGCUGGUGUUCCGAUCUGGCUUGGACGCCCCGGAGGCGCUCCCGGCGAUGCACUUCGGUCCUCCUUCUCCUGCUGUAACGCCGGCACACCGGUGAAUUACAAACUGCAGGAGCUCAUCUGGCCUGCAGAUCUGAGGACCGCCAAGUCCAGGAGCAUCAGGUCCACGGAACAGUGGUGAAACACUGGGCACCUCGGCCAUCGUCGCUGGCGGAAAGGUGUCUGCGGGCCAAGGGACCCUUGCCUGGCCCAGCAAAAGACAUUCCAAAUGCAGAGUCUGUCUCCCGGAGCCAACGGGCCGGGCCCCCACCUGGAUCUGUUUGUACACGUGCUGAAGAGAGCAGCGCUAAGCACGGUGAUUACAGGCAGCUGAUCAAUUAGCCCGUGCUCAGGAACCUGAUCGCAGCAGUCAAUCGGUGAUUGCCAAUCUGCAUAUUUAUCCAGCAGCAUUAAUUAUGCAUCCCGCGGCAUCAGUCCCCAUGACACGCACGGUGCUUGCUGUGGAUCGGGCCGCCUGCCGGGCCUGUCAGGGUCGGGGGCGAGUGCGGGGGACCCACACGGCGGCAGCCAAUGGGCGUGGAGCUGAGCUGAGCUCGACCUCUGCAAUGACCGAGGGACCUGGGCCUGGGUUGGGGUCUUUCUUUAAAUCCCGGUCGCGAAGAGGUGGAUGGCAGACUUUAUCCAACCAGCGGGUGUGUUUUUCUGUCCUGAACAAUUGCGGUUUUAGAAAAUGACAUCAAGUAUUCCGAGUGGUUGUGUCAGUUGGCCGCAGUCCCCAGCCCUCCCUACUGCCUCCUGCGCCAUCUAAGGAGUUUCUGGCUGGGCUUCCUUGGGCGUCUGAAUUGGCAGCUCAAAGGUCAGGGUUUUCUCAGCCUUGUCUUUUUCAUUAGUGUCCGCCGAGGAGCUCUUUCCACAUCUGUCCCACUCACCCCCUCCCGCCAAUGGGACAUGCGGGGCAGACUCUGACCUGAGGUCUGUUUCCACGCCAGGCACGUCGGUGAGCCUUUCUGCCCCAGGAGCAGGCUGGGAACACACCUCUGGGCCCGGGCCUCUGGGGUCCCCGGGAAGAGUGGGGACAGGAGGGCCCGGCCCCAGGCCCAGGCCGUCGGUCCGUGCGAGCCCCCUCCACGUCCCAGUGAGCCGGGGCUCCUGCCCGCCGUCCAUCCUGGCUCCCGAAGCUCCGGGCCUCCACCUCCCUCCCUGUUCCCAGCCCUGCCCAGUGCCCUGAAGCACCCGCAAAUGCCCCAUCCUCAAGACCCAGGGCAUCCACAGCCACCUCUCUGGCCAGGCGGGUGCCGAGGUUUCAGUGGAAGCCUUCUGGGGAGGCUUCGUGAUGAGACCUGCAACUUGCAAGUGAGCAGAUGCCUGGAGGUGCAAGGGACCCACUUGGGGCUGUCCGGUGGGUCUGGAAGGACAAGACCCCCGAGCAAAGGUGGAGGCCAGUGCUUUUUGUCCACCCCGCUCACAAUGACAGCAAGUGCAGUCGCCCUGGUGUCACCUGGGCCUGGCACAGUGCCUGGCACGGAGGGGGAGCCCACGAAGAAUCCUGAUGUGAUGUGGGAAGACACAUUAAAACAGGAAGGGCUCUGACAAGUCCUGCGAUGUUAUACAGCAGAGAAAAGGAGCGAGCGAGCGAGAGCUCCUCACAGCAGCAUGGGUGGAUCUCAGCAUACAACCUGGAAGGCAAGGCACUGGACAGGGAAUACUAGUGGCAUGAUUCGUGUCAUCACUAUUAACAGUCCCUCUGUAUAAAACCUCAAAACAAGCCAGGCAUGGUAUGUAUCUCUGGAUCUAUCUACUAAGUGAGGCUGAGGCAGCGGGACCACUCAAAUCCUGGAAUUUGACACCAGUCUGGCGAACAUGGCAAGGCUCUAUCUCUGAAUAACUGCGUGCACAAAUAAGGAAAUAAGAGCUGGGGAUGUAGCUCAGUGCAAAGGCACUGGGGUCAAUCCGCAGUACCGCACCACCUGGAAAGAAGCACAGCACACAUAAUCAUGUACG